GGGUCAGUAGGUUGGUCGUGCCACCGGUACGUACUGGUCUCAUUGAUUCCUCCUUCCUGAAGAACCGUAAUGCCAUUAAUUUGGUGUUGCGGGGAAACAGGACUGUUACUUUGAAAAAAUUAGAGUGUUUAAAGCAAGCUAACGCUUGAAUACAUUAGCAUGGAAUAGUGAAAUAGGACGAUCGAUCCUAUUUUGUUGGUUUCUAGGAUUGACGUA
This 216-nucleotide ribosomal RNA is filed under the name Glomeromycotina sp. Its description in RNAcentral is "partial small subunit ribosomal RNA". The stretch from base 40 to 216 matches the Rfam family "Eukaryotic small subunit ribosomal RNA", at positions 686 to 864 of the family's 1831-position model. The record is from RNAcentral. Lineage: Eukaryota; Fungi; Glomeromycota.